GAAACUUCCAAUGGCUAUUGAAGUUAGAUGGUGUGUACUAUAAUCCGAAAACCAACAUUGUAACUGCUGCCGGUGUAAUAUGGGAUUACAUAAUGAAGGUAAACCAGAACUAUAUAUAAUCACCAUCGAUAUUUAAUAUGUGUAAUGGAAUUCUUUUUAUAUCCAUUGUUGUAGGAGAAGUUUUCUGCAUACCAAUACCGUAUAUCCGGUGAAUCAAAAUGGCAAGAGUUAUCGAUUCUUUUCCAAGAUAUUGUGGAGUAUGCUCAACCUUGCCCCGACGUUGUUGUACUAUCGUCCGAUAGCGAGGGUGAACCGAAC
RNAcentral lists this long non-coding RNA (318 nucleotides) under Erythranthe guttata (spotted monkey flower). Its description in RNAcentral is "long non-coding RNA (EGUT_LNC000122)". Lineage: Eukaryota; Viridiplantae; Streptophyta; Magnoliopsida; Lamiales; Phrymaceae. The record is from RNAcentral.